CGCUGAUAGGCUACGGAGGCCAUCGCCCCGCCCCAUCUCUGAUAGGGUAACGUGGAAGCACGAGAGGAGGCUGCGUCCGCCGGUUGCGGAGCUGUCAGAGCGCUCCGACCGGCCGCUGGGGGAAGGCGGCGGGAGUCUGACUGGCAGCCGCUGAGUCCGCAUGCGCAGGGGCGAAAGGCUUUUGGAUCGGGCCGGCGUGCUGCGUUAGCGAGGAGGAGGAGGAUGUCAGCCAGGCCAGGCGACGUUCUUCCGUGGUGCUGUUUGGAGAGGAAUGUGAAGCCCCCCCCCCCGGCUUCGAGAUAAGAAGGCAAAACCUCCCAAGAAGGGAGCUUUAAAGCUCCUAGAAUGGGCUGUUUACCACGAUGAGUCAGAGUCCACUCCCUGCCCCUGAGCAUCUCCGGACAAAUAACAGACUGAACUGGAGAAGAAAAAAAAAGCUCCAGAGAAACGGUCAGGAGUAGCUGGAUGAGCUGAUGGAGGCCAAAGCAUUCCAGGGAAAACCAGAAAGAAGUGCACAUUACUGACCUAAGCCACCUAUUGAGGAUGGCUUGGAAGUUUGGGGACCUUCCCCCACACCCCGACUGUCCAGUGGGCCAGCGUGUCCAGAAAGAGAGCAGAAUCCUGGAGGGGUCUGUGAAGAAGAAACCAGGGAGCUGCAGCAGCUGAGACAGCAAGGGGCUCUUGAGAGUGCGGCCAAGGUCAGCUCUAAGGGAAAAAACACCUGUUAAACGGGAUCUUGCAUCUUCUGCUCAUCAGAGGAGACUCAACGGAAGAGAUAAGAUCUUGAACAAGAUAAAGUCCAAGUUACUUAAUUUGGCAUUUUGUUUGUUCGCAGUCAUUUACUCUGACGUCUCCAACACGCACGCUAUACCCAGUGGUGUUUUACUUGAGCUAAUGAAAAGAAAAUAGGAUUCUACCAAGUCUCCCAUCUACCUACUCCAGGACUUCUGUGAGGAUCAAAUGAGAUGAGGCAUGGGGAAACACUUCACAGACAUUUGGUUACAGUGUAAAAUGUUUCCACCUGGCUAUAAAGCAAGUUGUGUUCCUGGGCUGAAGAAACAACAAGGAGACUAGUCCCUAGGGAGAGGAAGCCGGGUGUUGCUAUGUGACGUCAUUACCCAGACGGACACUUAGCAUAUUAGCUCUCUCUCUAUAUAUAUAUACUAGGGGCCUGAUGCACAAAAUUCAUGCAGGAGUAGGCCUUCCUUCCCCCGGCUGCCAGCACCGGCUUCCCUCUGGCACCUGGGACCCGGGCUUCCCUCCAGCACCCGGGGCCCGGCUUCCCUCCGGCCACUGACAGGCACCCGGGACCCGGGCUUCCCUCGCAGCCUGGCUUUGUCUGGAAGGAUGGAAGGACAUCUGGUCUAAGUAGCAUAUUGCACUUUUAUUAUUAUAGACUACAGGCCCUGUGCACAAAAUUCGUGCAUGGGUAUGGUCCCUAGGCCUGGCCAGCAAUCAGGCCCAAUUGGGGCCUUCCGGCUACCAGCCGGGGCCUUCCUUCAUUCCACACCACCCCCUGGUGGUCAGCACACAUCAUAGCAAGCAAUCGAACUUCCGGGGACACUUUGCAUAUUAGCCUUUUAUAUAUAUAGAUAGAUGUGAAGUGCAUAGGAUUCAGAUCCAAGAAAUGUAACCUCAAACCAUGGCUAUUAUCUAACUUAGCUUCAUCUGUAAAGUGGGUAUGAUCCUGAUUACUUCAAAGAUUUGUUUUGAGCCCAGUUGGCAUGGCUCAGUUGUUGAGCACUGAUCAAUGAACCAGGAGGUCACCAUUCGAUUUCCAGCCAGGGCACAUGCAUGUGUUGUGGGCUCCACCCCUAGUAGGGGUUGUGCAAGAGGCAGCUGAUCAAUGAUUCUGUCUCAUCAUUGAUAUUUCUAUCUCUCUCUUCCUCUUCCCUCCUCUCUGAAAUCAAUAAAAAUAUUUUUUUUAAAAAAA
Molecule: long non-coding RNA, 1933 nt
Organism: Myotis daubentonii (Daubenton's bat)
Lineage: Eukaryota; Metazoa; Chordata; Mammalia; Chiroptera; Vespertilionidae
Source: RefSeq, a predicted model, not a curated record